Molecule: long non-coding RNA, 674 nt
Filed under: Homo sapiens (human)
Lineage: Eukaryota; Metazoa; Chordata; Mammalia; Primates; Hominidae
Description: long intergenic non-protein coding RNA 1081
Source: RNAcentral
AGUGCUGAGAGCUGGCGGAGGACGUGCCCUCCUGGGCUCAGAGCAGGAGACUGGCCUCUUGCUCCACAUGGACUGAAAUUCCCAGGAAACAGGCUGCAGGCAUGGACGCUGGACGUUGUGGGAGCGUGAGUGGUGGCGACACGGAGGCCCAGAGUGAGGAAGUCAUGUAUUCAAGGUGGCAGAGCUGGGAUUUGUAUAUCAUCUCUGUACCUGAGCCCCUAACCUGCAAGUCAUAAUAGGCAACGGAUCAAUGUUAUGAUGCAGUGGAGGCCCUUACCAGAAGCCAACCAGAUGCCAGCACCAUGCUCUUGGAUUUCCCAGUCUCCAGAAUGGUGCAGGUGGAGACGGAACCCUAGACACUGCUCAUCCCAAUCAGGCCCUUUCCAGGCCUGUCCCAUUCCAAUCGGGCAUCAGAUGUGGCAUUGAUCAUCAUCUACUUAACAAACGAGGCUCCCCUUUCAAUGCACUUGGGUCUCCUCUGGGCCAACCUUGGUUCUGAGAUAGCAGGUGCUGAAAUACUGCUGAAUCCUCAAAGCCAGACUAGCCAGUGCCUGGCACCUGAUGGGAAUAUGAUUUCAACGAACAGAAAUGAAGAGACCACCCAGAAAUACAGACCCAGCCUUUCAUUCUCUUAUAUUCCUUAUGUCCAACAUUUAUUGGGCCCUUACCAUGUG